Molecule: ribosomal RNA, 253 nt
Filed under: uncultured bacterium
Lineage: Bacteria
Description: partial 16S ribosomal RNA
Rfam family: Bacterial small subunit ribosomal RNA
Source: RNAcentral
UACGUAGGGUGCAAGCGUUGUCCGGAAUUAUUGGGCGUAAAGAGCUCGUAGGCGGUCUGUUGCGUCGGCUGUGAAAACCCGGGGCUCAACUCCGGGCCUGCAGCCGAUACGGGCAGACUAGAGUUCGGCAGGGGAGACUGGAAUUCCUGGUGUAGCGGUGAAAUGCGCAGAUAUCAGGAGGAACACCGGUGGCGAAGGCAGUACUCUGGGCUAACACUGACGCUGAGGUGCGAAAGCGUGGGGAGCGAACAGG